Molecule: ribosomal RNA, 329 nt
Filed under: uncultured eukaryote
Lineage: Eukaryota
Description: partial 18S ribosomal RNA
Rfam family: Eukaryotic small subunit ribosomal RNA
Source: RNAcentral
CCCUUAGAUGUUCUGGGCCGCACGCGCGCUACACUGACGAUGGCAACGAGUUUUUCCUUCGCCGAAAGGUGUGGGUAAUCUUUUGAAACAUCGUCGUGCUGGGGAUAGAUCAUUGCAAUUUUUGAUCUUGAACGAGGAAUUCCUAGUAAGCGCGAGUCAUCAGCUCGCGUUGAUUACGUCCCUGCCCUUUGUACACACCGCCCGUCGCUACUACCGAUUGAAUGGUUUAGUGAGGACUCCUGAUUGGCGUCGCCGCCCCGGCAACGGAGCAGCGGACUGCCGAAAAGUUGUUCAAACUUGAUCAUUUAGAGGAAGUAAAAGUCGUAACA